UGGGGAAUAUUGGGCAAUGGGCGCAAGCCUGACCCAGCAACGCCGCGUGAGGGAAGAAGGCUUUCGGGUUGUAAACCUCUGUCCUUGGGGACGAAAAAAAUGACGGUACCCAAGGAGGAAGCUCCGGCUAACUACGUGCCAGCAGCCGCGGUAAUACGUAGGGAGCGAGCGUUGUCCGGAAUUACUGGGCGUAAAGGGUGCGUAGGCGGCAAGGCAAGUCAGAUGUGAAAUCCCCGGGCUUAACUCGGGGGGUGCAUUUGAAACUGCUUUGCUUGAGUGCAGGAGAGGAAAGCGGAAUUCCUAGUGUAGCGGUGAAAUGCGUAGAUAUUAGGAGGAACACCAGUGGCGAAGGCGGCUUUCUGGACUGUAACUGACGCUGAGGCACGAAAGCGUGGGGAGCAAACAG
This 406-nucleotide ribosomal RNA is filed under the name uncultured bacterium. RNAcentral's name for it is "bacterial SSU rRNA". It matches the Rfam family "Bacterial small subunit ribosomal RNA", at positions 355 to 775 of the family's 1533-position model. The record is from RNAcentral.